RNAcentral lists this ribosomal RNA (460 nucleotides) under uncultured bacterium. Its description in RNAcentral is "partial 16S ribosomal RNA". It matches the Rfam family "Bacterial small subunit ribosomal RNA", at positions 338 to 795 of the family's 1533-position model. The record is from RNAcentral.
CCUACGGGCGGCAGCAGUGAGGAAUAUUGGUCAAUGGACGAGAGUCUGAACCAGCCAAGUAGCGUGAAGGAUGACUGCCCUAUGGGUUGUAAACUUCUUUUAUAUGGGAAUAAAAUGUUCCACGUGUGGGAUUUUGUAUGUACCAUAUGAAUAAGGAUCGGCUAACUCCGUGCCAGCAGCCGCGGUAAUACGGAGGAUCCGAGCGUUAUCCGGAUUUAUUGGGUUUAAAGGGAGCGUAGGUGGAUUGUUAAGUCAGUUGCGAAAGUUUGCGGCUCAACCGUAAAAUUGCAGUUGAAACUGGCAGUCUUGAGUACAGUAGAGGUGGGCGGAAUUCGUGGUGUAGCGGUGAAAUGCUUAGAUAUCACGAAGAACUCCGAUUGCGAAGGCAGCUCACUGGACUGCAACUGACACUGAGGCUCGAAAGUGUGGGUAUCAAACAGGAUUAGAUACCCGAGUAGUC